RNAcentral lists this long non-coding RNA (1494 nucleotides) under Cottoperca gobio. RNAcentral describes it as "lncRNA (ENSCGOG00000001462.1)". The record is from RNAcentral. Lineage: Eukaryota; Metazoa; Chordata; Actinopteri; Perciformes; Bovichtidae.
UAGGGGGUGCUGUUUUUAUCCAGAGAGGAGGGGGGACAGGGCCUUGUCCACCUGGCCAGCCGAACAGCCACUUUUAGACUUCAGUUUUUACAAAAAUAUCUUACCGGCCCGGCUGAUUUGGUGUGGAGAGAUGUGACCAGCUGCAUUCUCAGACGUGUAAAUAACCUGGGGCUGGAUGCUGCUCUGUUUUUAACUGAUUCUAAUUUUUUUAAGUUAAAUGGGCUGCCUCCAUUUUAUCAGAGUGUUUUUAAGUCUUGGGCCCUUUUUAAUCAUAAAAGGUGUCCAAUGUCGGACUCUCUGCACUGGUUGUUGAAGGAGCCUUUAAUUUACAGAGCCAGGCUGGACGUCAGCAGCAGCAGCACACCCAGCCUGAUGGUGGCGCUCUGCAGGUCCAGAACCCUGUGCCUGCAGCAACUGGUGGAUGCAGUGGGGCCGGCGCUGAGUGAUGCCCGAGCCCUGGGCUUGCUGCUGGGUCUGACCUCCGUUCGAGUGGCUGAGAGGAUUCUGGAGCUGUGGAGCCAGAGGCUAUCGGGGAAGGAGAAGAGAAUAAUAAAAGACUACAGUGACGGGAAGGCUUCUCCAGACCCAGCAGACCCUUUUCCAGAGAUCAACCUGAGCCCAGGGCUGGGAGAACUGACCGGUCCCCUGCUCAAGGUCAUUAACCCGGCAGAACUGACGCUGCACAGAGCCGACAAAAAGACUCUAUAUAUGAACUGUGUCAAAAGCAUCCACAAGAAAGGCCUGUGCAGCAGACCCUCCACUGUGUGGAGCAACAGACUGGGUUCAGGAAGUGGACCAAGCCCACAGUGGGGGUCUUUUUACAAACCUCCCCUCAAAAAGCGGACAGCCGACCUCCAGUGGAGGAUUUUACAUGGUGCCGUCGCUUGUAACGCUUUUAUCGCCGUUAUUAAUCCCGCUGUUUUUAACAAAUGCCCUUUCUGCAACCUACGUGAGACUGUAUUCCAUGUUUUUACUGAGUGUAAGAGACUCACAGAGUUUUUCUCUCUUUUAACAUUGGUUUUUAGUCUUUUUAACGUAGUUUUUACCGAGAGUGUUUUUAUCAUGGGAGCUGCCUACAAAAAAGACAACAAAGAAAAGUGGCAGCUCCUAAAUUUCCUCUCGGGAGAGGCAAAAAUGGCCAUAUACAUUAGCAGGAAAAACAGAGUUGAGAACAGAGAGGGGCAGGAGGCCAAGACAGUGUGGCUGUGCAAUAUCAGGGCAAGACUCUGGCUCGAUUUUAGGUUUCACAAACAUACCGGGGAUCUCGACACUUUUAAAGAACGUUGGUGUUUUAAAAAUAUUAUCUGCACUGUGAACAAUGAAUGUUUACACUUUGCACAGGUUUUUAUUGGAUAAUUUUUAUAUAUUUAUAGAGUUGUUAUUUAUAAAUGUAUAUUUUUUGAUAUGAUAAUAUGAUUUUUCGUUUACACUUUAUGAGUAAACUGUUUGUUUUAAGAAUAUGUAAAUAAAGUGUUUUUGAAAAAUCAAAAAAAA